This 424-nucleotide ribosomal RNA is filed under the name Salmonella enterica subsp. enterica. Its description in RNAcentral is "bacterial SSU rRNA". It matches the Rfam family "Bacterial small subunit ribosomal RNA", at positions 1121 to 1533 of the family's 1533-position model. Lineage: Bacteria; Pseudomonadati; Pseudomonadota; Gammaproteobacteria; Enterobacterales; Enterobacteriaceae. The record is from RNAcentral.
GCGAUUAGGUCGGGAACUCAAAGGAGACUGCCAGUGAUAAACUGGAGGAAGGUGGGGAUGACGUCAAGUCAUCAUGGCCCUUACGACCAGGGCUACACACGUGCUACAAUGGCGCAUACAAAGAGAAGCGACCUCGCGAGAGCAAGCGGACCUCAUAAAGUGCGUCGUAGUCCGGAUUGGAGUCUGCAACUCGACUCCAUGAAGUCGGAAUCGCUAGUAAUCGUGGAUCAGAAUGCCACGGUGAAUACGUUCCCGGGCCUUGUACACACCGCCCGUCACACCAUGGGAGUGGGUUGCAAAAGAAGUAGGUAGCUUAACCUUCGGGAGGGCGCUUACCACUUUGUGAUUCAUGACUGGGGUGAAGUCGUAACAAGGUAACCGUAGGGGAACCUGCGGUUGGAUCACCUCCUUACCUUAAAGAAGC